CGGGACACGUGGUAUCCUGUCUGAAUAUGGGGGGACCAUCCUCCAAGGCUAAAUACUCCUGACUGACCGAUAGUGAACCAGUACCGUGAGGGAAAGGCGAAAAGAACCCCGGCGAGGGGAGUGAAAAAGAACCUGAAACCGUGUACGUACAAGCAGUGGGAGCCUCUUUAUGGGGUGACUGCGUACCUUUUGUAUAAUGGGUCAGCGACUUAUAUUCUGUAGCAAGGUUAACCGAAUAGGGGAGCCGAAGGGAAACCGAGUCUUAACUGGGCGUUAAGUUGCAGGGUAUAGACCCGAAACCCGGUGAUCUAGCCAUGGGCAGGUUGAAGGUUGGGUAACACUAACUGGAGGACCGAACCGACUAAUGUUGAAAAAUUAGCGGAUGACUUGUGGCUGGGGGUGAAAGGCCAAUCAAACCGGGAGAUAGCUGGUUCUCCCCGAAAGCUAUUUAGGUAGCGCCUCGUGAAUUCAUCUCCGGGGGUAGAGCACUGUUUCGGCAAGGGGGUCAUCCCGACUUACCAACCCGAUGCAAACUGCGAAUACCGGAGAAUGUUAUCACGGGAGACACACGGCGGGUGCUAACGUCCGUCGUGAAGAGGGAAACAACCCAGACCGCCAGCUAAGGUCCCAAAGUCAUGGUUAAGUGGGAAACGAUGUGGGAAGGCCCAGACAGCCAGGAUGUUGGCUUAGAAGCAGCCAUCAUUUAAAGAAAGCGUAAUAGCUCACUGGUCGAGUCGGCCUGCGCGGAAGAUGUAACGGGGCUAAACCAUGCACCGAAGCUGCGGCAGCGACGCUUAUGCGUUGUUGGGUAGGGGAGCGUUCUGUAAGCCUGCGAAGGUGUGCUGUGAGGCAUGCUGGAGGUAUCAGAAGUGCGAAUGCUGACAUAAGUAACGAUAAAGCGGGUGAAAAGCCCGCUCGCCGGAAGACCAAGGGUUCCUGUCCAACGUUAAUCGGGGCAGGGUGAGUCGACCCCUAAGGCGAGGCCGAAAGGCGUAGUCGAUGGGAAACAGGUUAAUAUUCCUGUACUUGGUGUUACUGCGAAGGGGGGACGGAGAAGGCUAUGUUGGCCGGGCGACGGUUGUCCCGGUUUAAGCGUGUAGGCUGGUUUUCCAGGCAAAUCCGGAAAAUCAAGGCUGAGGCGUGAUGACGAGGCACUACGGUGCUGAAGCAACAAAUGCCCUGCUUCCAGGAAAAGCCUCUAAGCAUCAGGUAACAUCAAAUCGUACCCCAAACCGACACAGGUGGUCAGGUAGAGAAUACCAAGGCGCUUGAGAGAACUCGGGUGAAGGAACUAGGCAAAAUGGUGCCGUAACUUCGGGAGAAGGCACGCUGAUAUGUAGGUGAAGCGACUUGCUCGUGGAGCUGAAAUCAGUCGAAGAUACCAGCUGGCUGCAACUGUUUAUUAAAAACACAGCACUGUGCAAACACGAAAGUGGACGUAUACGGUGUGACGCCUGCCCGGUGCCGGAAGGUUAAUUGAUGGGGUUAGCGGUAACGCGAAGCUCUUGAUCGAAGCCCCGGUAAACGGCGGCCGUAACUAUAACGGUCCUAAGGUAGCGAAAUUCCUUGUCGGGUAAGUUCCGACCUGCACGAAUGGCGUAAUGAUGGCCAGGCUGUCUCCACCCGAGACUCAGUGAAAUUGAACUCGCUGUGAAGAUGCAGUGUACCCGCGGCAAGACGGAAAGACCCCGUGAACCUUUACUAUAGCUUGACACUGAACAUUGAGCCUUGAUGUGUAGGAUAGGUGGGAGGCUUUGAAGUGUGGACGCCAGUCUGCAUGGAGCCGGCCUUGAAAUACCACCCUUUAAUGUUUGAUGUUCUAACGUUGGCCCCUGAUCGGGGUUGCGGACAGUGUCUGGUGGGUAGUUUGACUGGGGCGGUCUCCUCCUAAAGAGUAACGGAGGAGCACGAAGGUUGGCUAAUCCUGGUCGGACAUCAGGAGGUUAGUGCAAUGGCAUAAGCCAGCUUGACUGCGAGCGUGACGGCGCGAGCAGGUGCGAAAGCAGGUCAUAGUGAUCCGGUGGUUCUGAAUGGAAGGGCCAUCGCUCAACGGAUAAAAGGUACUCCGGGGAUAACAGGCUGAUACCGCCCAAGAGUUCAUAUCGACGGCGGUGUUUGGCACCUCGAUGUCGGCUCAUCACAUCCUGGGGCUGAAGUAGGUCCCAAGGGUAUGGCUGUUCGCCAUUUAAAGUGGUACGCGAGCUGGGUUUAGAACGUCGUGAGACAGUUCGGUCCCUAUCUGCCGUGGGCGCUGGAGAACUGAGGGGGGCUGCUCCUAGUACGAGAGGACCGGAGUGGACGCAUCACUGGUGUUCGGGUUGUCAUGCCAAUGGCACUGCCCGGUAGCUAAAUGCGGAAGAGAUAAGUGCUGAAAGCAUCUAAGCACGAAACUUGCCCCGAGAUGAGUUCUCCCUGAG
This 2417-nucleotide ribosomal RNA is filed under the name Escherichia coli. RNAcentral's name for it is "partial 23S ribosomal RNA". It matches the Rfam family "Bacterial large subunit ribosomal RNA", at positions 418 to 2819 of the family's 2925-position model. The record is from RNAcentral. Lineage: Bacteria; Pseudomonadati; Pseudomonadota; Gammaproteobacteria; Enterobacterales; Enterobacteriaceae.